Molecule: transfer RNA, 67 nt
Filed under: Conus tribblei
Lineage: Eukaryota; Metazoa; Mollusca; Gastropoda; Neogastropoda; Conidae
Description: tRNA-His
Rfam family: tRNA
About the family: Transfer RNA (tRNA) molecules are approximately 80 nucleotides in length. Their secondary structure includes four short double-helical elements and three loops (D, anti-codon, and T loops).
Source: RNAcentral
GUUAAGUUAGUUUAAGUCUAAAACGUCAGCCUGUGGAUUUGAAAAAAGGAUUAGCUCCUACUUAACC